RNAcentral lists this ribosomal RNA (333 nucleotides) under uncultured bacterium. RNAcentral describes it as "partial 16S ribosomal RNA". It matches the Rfam family "Bacterial small subunit ribosomal RNA", at positions 338 to 668 of the family's 1533-position model. The record is from RNAcentral.
CCUACGGGUGGCAGCAGUGAGGAAUAUUGGUCAAUGGUCGGAAGUCUGAACCAGCCACGCCGCGUGGGGGAAGAAGGUUCUCGGUAUCGUAAGCCUCUUUUGUCCGGGAGCAAACUCUGGUUCGCGUACCCGGAUGAACGUACCUGACGAAUAAGCAUCGGCUAACUCCGUGCCAGCAGCCGCGGUAAUACGGAGGAUUCAAGCGUUAUCCGGAUUUCAUGGGGUUAAAGGGUGCGUGGGCGGGCUUUUAAGUUAGCGGUUAAAGCCCGGGGCGCAACCUCGGAAUUGCCUUUGAAACUGGCCGGCUGGAGAGGAGGAGAGGUAGGCGGAAUG